CAAUAGCGUAUAUUAAAGUUGUUGCAGUUAAAAAGCUCGUAGUUGGACCUUGGACCUGGACAGGCGGUCCGCCUCACGGCGUGUACUGUCUUGCUGGGUCUUUCCUCUUGGUGAUCUGUUGUUUCGGCAGCAGGGAACCAGGACUUUUACUUUGAAAAAAUUAGAGUGUUCAAAGCAGGCUCGACGCCGGAAUAUAUUAGCAUGGAAUAAUAAAAUAGGACGUGCGGUUCUAUUUUGUUGGUUUUUGGAAUCGCCGUAAUGAUUAAUAGGGACAGUCGGGGGCAUUAGUACUCACAUGCUAGAGGUGAAAUUCUUGGAUUUUGUGAAGACUAACUUCUGUGAAAGCAUUUGCCAAGGAUGUUUUCAUUAA
Molecule: ribosomal RNA, 370 nt
Filed under: uncultured eukaryote
Lineage: Eukaryota
Description: partial 18S ribosomal RNA
Rfam family: Eukaryotic small subunit ribosomal RNA
Source: RNAcentral